RNAcentral lists this ribosomal RNA (301 nucleotides) under uncultured bacterium. RNAcentral's name for it is "partial 16S ribosomal RNA". It matches the Rfam family "Bacterial small subunit ribosomal RNA", at positions 509 to 808 of the family's 1533-position model. The record is from RNAcentral.
CAGCAGCCGCGGUAAUACGAAGGGUGCAAGCGUUAAUCGGAAUUACUGAGCGUAAAGGGCGCGUAGGCGGCGAUCAAAGUCAGGCGUGAAAUUCCUGGGCUCAACCUGGGGGCUGCGCUUGAUACUUGGUUGCUUGAGUGGGGAAGAGGGUCGUGGAAUUCCCAGUGUAGAGGUGAAAUUCGUAGAUAUUGGGAAGAACACCGGUGGCGAAGGCGGCGACCUGGUCCUUGACUGACGCUGAGGCGCGAAUGCGUGGGGAGCAAACAGGAUUAGAUACCCCCGUAGUCCCUGUCUCUAUACA